AUGUCAAAUCGCCGUGUCUCGCCGCCGGAGCCGUUCAUCGGCGUCAGCAUGGAGCGGUUUGAGGCCAGCCUGGAGAGCGACGGCUUCGGACCCGGGUCGCUGGGGCCCGGCAUGGACAUGGUGAGGACCGUCGUCCAAUGCUCCCUCCCCAUGCCGCCCGUCUCCCACGCCGCCCCUCUCGCGCUCGCCGGCGCGGCCUGGCUCCCCGGCGGCGCCGACCGCAUCAGCGCCCUCCCCGACCGCCUCCUCCGCGACAUCACCUCCCGCCUCCCCGCCGCGGACGGCGCGCGCACCGCGGCGCUCGCCUCGUGCUGGCGCCCCCUCUGGCGCUCGGCGCCCCUCGUCGUCGCCGACACCCACUUCCUCCCCAACGGCCGGUGGAUCCCCGGUGUCGGCGAGGAGGAUUCGCCCGGGGUCGCCGACCUCGUCACCCGCGCACCCGGGGCCCUUCCGCUGCGUCCACCUCACACGCACCACCAUGGACGCGCACCGGGGCGAGAUCGCGCGCUGGCUCGACGUCCUCGCCGCCAAGGGCGUCCAAGAGCUCGCCUUUAUCAACCGCCCGUGGCCGCUCGACAUCCGCCUCCCCGCCACGCUCUUCCGCUGCGCUGCGCCCCCCUCACCCGCCUCUUCCUCAGCGCAUGGAGGCUCCCGGACACGGCCGCCGUCCCGCGCUCCGCCGCCAUCCCCAACCUCCGGGAGCUCGGCCUCUCCCUCGUCGUCGUGGAGGACCGCGACCUCGCCUUCCUGCUCGACAGAAGCCCCGUCCUGGAUAUCCUCACCGUCAUUCUGUCACAGGUCCCGGUGGUGGACGCCCCUCGCCUGGAGAGCCUCUUGCAGUGGACGGGCCUCACCAGUAUGUCCCGGAGGUGCUGCAGGGUUAAGAUUGUCCAUGCGCCCAAGCUGCGUGUUAUUGGAUACCUUCAGCCAGGAGAACAUGACUUGGAGAUUGGCAACACCUCUAUCAAGGCUGGGACUAAGUUGACCACCAGCACCCUUGUCCCGAGUGUCGAGAUCCUGGCCUUGGAACUUAAAUUCCAAGUCCGCAGUGACCUCAAGAAAGUGCCUAACUUCCUCCCAUGUUUUCCCAACGUCGAGACGCUCCAUAUCCAGUCUGAAAAGGCGUGUGAGGAGCCUACCGGCAAGGUCGGUCUCAAGUUUUGGCUGGAGGGCAGUCCCAUUACGUGUAUCCGGCAGCAAAUGAAGAAGUUGAAAUGA
Molecule: ribosomal RNA, 1218 nt
Filed under: Triticum aestivum (bread wheat)
Lineage: Eukaryota; Viridiplantae; Streptophyta; Magnoliopsida; Poales; Poaceae
Description: partial small subunit ribosomal RNA
Source: RNAcentral